GCCCCUAUGGGACAGUGGUAGUCCGCAUCACUUGUACGAAGUUCGCUCCGUGUAUGAUAUGAUGAAGCCCGUGGUUCGAUCCCGCGUGGGGGCU
Non-coding RNA from Aspergillus campestris IBT 28561, 94 nucleotides. Lineage: Eukaryota; Fungi; Ascomycota; Eurotiomycetes; Eurotiales; Aspergillaceae. The record is from the annotation of a RefSeq genome assembly.